AGAUGUACAAAGGAGCAUGUGAAAGUAAAGUAAGUCGGUGUAUUGAGGGAAAUUAUUCCAAAAGUCUGAUUGAAGCUGAGUCUAGGGUUUAAAAGCCUAAAUUUAUCUAUCUUUUACCUACCUCUAGCCUAGCUACGUUACAACCUUUUUAAAGACCUAUUGAUUCAAGUUUUUUAUACUACCUACAUUAGUAGAAAGAAAUUGCUAUGUUCAACAUGUGAAGGCAUAAGUUAAACUUAAUGGUUGCAGCUUAAUCAUGAAUAAGAAAAUAAAAUCAAAUUGGUAAGGGUUAAUAUGUCUUGUUAAGGAAGCAUUUAGUCUAAUUGUGC
Molecule: long non-coding RNA, 329 nt
Filed under: Gossypium barbadense (sea-island cotton)
Lineage: Eukaryota; Viridiplantae; Streptophyta; Magnoliopsida; Malvales; Malvaceae
Description: long non-coding RNA (GBAR_LNC013569)
Source: RNAcentral